GCAAGUCGAGCGGUAAGCUAACUUCGGUUAGCCUAGAGCGGCGGACGGGUGAGUAACACGUGGAUAAUCUACCCCCUUGUUUGGGAUAGCCUGUGGAAACAUAGGGUAAUACCAAAUAAUACUCUUUUAUCACAAGAUAAGAGAAGGAAAGGCGCCUCAAAGCGUCGCAAGAGGAUGAGUCUGCGUCCCAUUAGCUAGACGGCAGGGUAAAAGCCUACCGUGGCAAUGAUGGGUAGCCGGCCUGAGAGGGUGAUC
This 255-nucleotide ribosomal RNA is filed under the name uncultured bacterium. RNAcentral describes it as "partial 16S ribosomal RNA". It matches the Rfam family "Bacterial small subunit ribosomal RNA", at positions 57 to 305 of the family's 1533-position model. The record is from RNAcentral.